Paramormyrops kingsleyae is the source of this 867-nucleotide long non-coding RNA. RefSeq lists it as uncharacterized. The record is from RefSeq and is a predicted model, not a curated record. Lineage: Eukaryota; Metazoa; Chordata; Actinopteri; Osteoglossiformes; Mormyridae.
CUUGCGUGUGAGAGAGAGGCUGCGCCCGGACACUCUUCUUCGUCCGCGGCAGGGCAGGGAGCGGCGGCAGGGCGGACGGCAAAUGCGGCGCAGCCACAGACCUUUAAUCGGCGGCGGUCCCGUCGCCGGCAGAGGAUGCGCUCGCCCAAGAAUGGCUGCCGUUUGUCCGGCUGCCUGCCACAGGGGCCGGAGUCGGGCACCAGACUGCCGGGUCGUGACCGAUGGAGUCGGCGGCGGAUGAUGCUGGAGAUGGACUAACGACACAAAAAUGGAGGGAGAUCCACUUCUGCUUGACUGACGAACAAGAGCGAGGAGACCUUCGAGAAGAAGAGAGAACAGAAAAAGGAGGGAUGAUCUUUUGAGUUUUCCCAGAUGCAAUGGAAGAUCAGCAGAUGGUGCCCCCGCCGGCCACCUGUUCGGAGCAGGCCGUUCAGGAGGCAGCCCGGGGGGGGGGGGAGGACGACAGCAUCCCGGCGGCAUCGGCGAACGCGAUCAAGGACAGGUCAGCCGGUCCCUCGGAUUUCCAACAGCAGGAGGCGCUGCUGAGCACACCCAGCUCUUGAACUUUAACCGACAGCAAGAGGAGCAGCUGAAGUAGAUCCGCUACAGCAGGAAGGUGGUGCAGCUCAGCACACAAAGUCACAGCCCCCUGCUACACUCCCACCUCCAGUACGGACCAGAACAAACAUGCAUACUGUGUGCUUCCUGUUGAAUCUGGCACAUUUCAAGCAUGACAUGUAAAAUUUGCAUGAACGUGUACAUACCUAAGAACACAGAUCUGAUCACAGAUGUAAUGGAACUCGUUUUUUUUUUCAUCACAAGGUAUGGUUGCUUUUGACCUAGAUUAAAGUUCUGUGAGAACCUCAA